CUCCUGAUUGCGAAAGGCAGGCUCAAUUAGACUGUUUACUGACACUGAUGCUCGGAAAGUGUGGGUAUCAAACCAGGAUUAGAUACCCUGGUAGUCCACACAGUAAACGAUGAAUACUCGCUGUUUGCGAUAUACAGUAAGCGGCCAAGCGAAAGCAUUAAGUAUUCCACCUGGGGAGUACGCCGGCAACGGUGAAACUCAAAGGAAUUGACGGGGGCCCGCACAAGCGGAGGAACAUGUGGUUUAAUUCGAUGAUACGCGAGGAACCUUACCCGGGCUUAAAUUGCAACAGAAUAUAUUGGAAACAGUAUAGCCGUAAGGCUGUUGUGAAGGUGCUGCAUGGUUGUCGUCAGCUCGUGCCGUGAGGUGUCGGCUUAAGUGCCAUAACGAGCGCAACCCUUAUCUUUAGUUACUAACAGGUUAUGCUGAGGACUCUAGAGAGACUGCCGUCGUAAGAUGUGAGGAAGGUGGGGAUGACGUCAAAUCAGCACGGCCCUUACGUCCGGGGCUACACACGUGUUACAAUGGGGGGUACAGAAGGCGGCUACCUGGUGACAGGAUGCUAAUCCCAAAAACCUCUCUCAGUUCGGAUCGAAGUCUGCAACCCGACUUCGUGAAGCUGGAUUCGCUAGUAAUCGCGCAUCAGCCAUGGCGCGGUGAAUACGUUCCCGGGCCUUGUACAAGGGCGCCCGUCAAGCCAUGAAAG
This 706-nucleotide ribosomal RNA is filed under the name Bacteroides ovatus. RNAcentral describes it as "bacterial SSU rRNA". It matches the Rfam family "Bacterial small subunit ribosomal RNA", at positions 699 to 1410 of the family's 1533-position model. The record is from RNAcentral. Lineage: Bacteria; Pseudomonadati; Bacteroidota; Bacteroidia; Bacteroidales; Bacteroidaceae.